UGAGACAGGUGAGGGUGAGACAGGUAGAGGGUGAGACAGGCUCUCAGGUGAAGAUGAGGCCGGCCUCGCUGUAGAGGGUGAGACAGGUAGCGGAGGGUGAGACAGGUCUCAGGUGAAGAUGAGGCCGGCCUCGCUGUAGAGGGUGAGACAGGUGAGGGUGAGACAGGUAGAGGGUGAGACAGGUACAGGGUGAGACAGGCUCUCAGGUGAAGAUGAGGCCGGCCUCGCUGUAGAGGGUGAGACAGGUGAGGGUGAGACAGGUAGCGGAGGGUGAGACAGGUCUCAGGUGAAGAUGAGGCCGGCCUCGCUGUAGACUCUGAACACCUUCUCGAUGGCGUUGACGUAGGCGGCCGUCCU
Scomber japonicus (chub mackerel) is the source of this 357-nucleotide long non-coding RNA. RefSeq lists it as uncharacterized. The transcript is spliced from 3 exons. The record is from RefSeq and is a predicted model, not a curated record. NCBI's taxonomy places the organism in Eukaryota, Metazoa, Chordata, Actinopteri, Scombriformes, Scombridae.